This is a long non-coding RNA of Chiroxiphia lanceolata (lance-tailed manakin), 1108 nucleotides long. RefSeq lists it as uncharacterized. The record is from RefSeq and is a predicted model, not a curated record. The transcript has 4 exons. NCBI's taxonomy places the organism in Eukaryota, Metazoa, Chordata, Aves, Passeriformes, Pipridae.
CCGGGCCGCCCCGCACCGCGUCCCCCUCCCCGCAUUCCCCGCGGCUGCCCCGCGUCCCGUCCUGUGACUCCGUGCCGGAGCCGGUGCUCGCCGCCCGCCUCCUCAGCCAUACUGGUGCGGGACUGGCGCGGUACUGGCGGCACUGGGCUCGCAGAACUUCUCAGCUGCGUUGCACUUCGAUUUGAGGCGCGUGUGGCCGCGCCGGGGAUGCGGCGCGCAAAGAACGCGACUGGCUGGGAGAGAGUUUAUUUUGUUUCUUUCUGCUCUUCCUUCCCCUCCCUCUCCCAGUUUAGCCCAGGAACUCCUGCAGCAUUGGUUAAUCCUCGAGGAGGGAGAACUGCUGAGAUCUUUAGCGAGCUCUCCCCUACCACGGAUACUUCCUAUAGCUCCAGCGUCUCUGUGAGGGAUGUACAGCUACGAGAUGUGAAGGUUAUGUAUCGUUACAGCAUAAAUUAUGGAAAGGGCUGGAAUUCCUGUUUGAGCAGCUUCAUGAAAAACUGAACUUUGACUGAACACAAACAGCAAAUAAAGCGGGAAACGAGAUAAAAAAUGAUGCAGGCCUUAGUUUCUUUGAAGGUGAAAUGACUGAUCCCAGGUGUCAGCACCUCAGAGACCCGCUCAGCCUUUUAUAGGACUCUUGGACAGUUUAUAGACACCAGCCGACACCUGUAAAGUUCACCUGAAGCUGUUCAGAAGUUUAAAACACCUCAUUGCAAUUUAUCUGGAACUAUUAAUGCACAAAAGGGCAAAAAUUGAUUAGAGUGGGUGAGGAACUCUUCUGUCCUGUCUUUAAAGAGUGGAUGUAAAUCUGUCAGCUUUUACAGCUGUCCUCACACUGCUUCAACUAAACAUAUAUUUGGAGAGGAGAUCUGGCAUUUCUCUCCCAGCCCAGAGUCCUGCUGCUCCUGGUGCCAGGUCCAGAGCAGGGAUAGGGUGUGAGGCAGCUUCUGCAGCAUCAGCAGCAUCAGGUUCAUCAACAUAAUCAGGAUUAUGAGGAUCAGCAUCUUCAUUCCUUCCCAAGAAAAGUACUGAUACCUCACCUGUGGCCAUGUGCUGUUUUUAAAUUUUAUUUAAUAAAUUCAAAUCAACAACAACAAAAAAAAAGAAA